GGUGGCUGAGUGGCAGAGUGCUUGCCUUGCAUGCAUGAGGCCCUGGGUUCAAUUCCCCAGUACCA
RNAcentral lists this transfer RNA (65 nucleotides) under Dipodomys ordii (Ord's kangaroo rat). It matches the Rfam family "tRNA". From Rfam's summary of the family: Transfer RNA (tRNA) molecules are approximately 80 nucleotides in length. Their secondary structure includes four short double-helical elements and three loops (D, anti-codon, and T loops). Further hydrogen bonds mediate the characteristic L-shaped molecular structure. tRNAs have two regions of fundamental functional importance: the anti-codon, which is responsible for specific mRNA codon recognition, and the 3' end, to which the tRNAs corresponding amino acid is attached (by aminoacyl-tRNA synthetases). tRNAs cope with the degeneracy of the genetic code in two manners: having more than one tRNA (with a specific anti-codon) for a particular amino acid; and 'wobble' base-pairing, i.e. permitting non-standard base-pairing at the 3rd anti-codon position. The record is from Rfam by way of RNAcentral. Lineage: Eukaryota; Metazoa; Chordata; Mammalia; Rodentia; Heteromyidae.